UGCUCACUCACUGGCUAAUCGGAGAGAUAACGAUUAUAACGCCCUGUAAAAAACGACGUGUCUAUAUAAGAGGAGCCGGCCCUUCCCGGUCAGACGUUACUCGUAUUCUCAUACGUGACACGAACCAAUACAGCGCUGCAAAUCUGAUCCUACUGUCACAGCAUCGAGAUGAAGUUCCAAUUAGCAAUUUUCUUCGUACUUCUGGCAACAAUGUCAGUGUCGCCCAAGCCAAAGGUUCCCCCUCUGGGAGCUGUCUUCCGAGGACUUUCGGUUAUCGAUGAUGCUAAUGCAGGCGACACUUCUACAACAACCUCAAUAGACCCAACAACAUCUACUUCCGAGGCAUCCACAGCAUCUUCUUCUGUGACAUCCACGGCCUCCACCGAGCCACCCACGGGUCCCACCGAGCCACCCACGGGUCCCACCGAGCCACCCACGGGUCCCACCGAGCCACCCACGGGUCCCACCGAGCCACCCAAGGGUCCCACCGAGCCACCCACGGGUCCCACCGAGCCACCCACGGGUCCCACCGAGCCACCCACGGGUCCCACCGAGCCACCCCCUGGGUCCCACCGAGCCAUCCACGGCCCCCACCGGGACAGGCACGGCUCCCACCGGCACCACAACGACACCCUUUGUUAGUAGUACAACAGAAGCACCUGGAGGCCUCGAUGGCGGAGCAAUUGCCGGCAUUGUUAUUGGCACACUGGCUGGAGUCGGUCUCAUAGGAUUCGGCAUCUACUACAUGAAGAAGAAGGGGAUGGCCUGUUUCGGUUAAGCUCUCUCUGGCAUCGCUCAUGCAGUCACGAGAAGAUGGCGGACGGAGAUAACGUAUCAAAAUCAACACCAUUAGGACACGUAUUGAAAUUCCGUUCAAACCCACUUAAAUUAACACUGAGGAACGCAGAGUCCUAGUUCACAACAAGAUCCAGAUGCAACUCUAUAUAAUAUAUAU
Long non-coding RNA from Macrobrachium nipponense, 955 nucleotides. RefSeq lists it as uncharacterized. The record is from RefSeq and is a predicted model, not a curated record. NCBI's taxonomy places the organism in Eukaryota, Metazoa, Arthropoda, Malacostraca, Decapoda, Palaemonidae. The transcript is spliced from 6 exons.